RNAcentral lists this ribosomal RNA (843 nucleotides) under Arthrobacter sp. RNAcentral describes it as "bacterial SSU rRNA". It matches the Rfam family "Bacterial small subunit ribosomal RNA", at positions 57 to 900 of the family's 1533-position model. The record is from RNAcentral. Lineage: Bacteria; Bacillati; Actinomycetota; Actinomycetes; Micrococcales; Micrococcaceae.
GCAGUCGAACGAUGAUCCCUAGCUUGCUGGGGGGAUUAGUGGCGAACGGGUGAGUAACACGUGAGUAACCUGCCCUUGACUCUGGGAUAAGCCUGGGAAACCGGGUCUAAUACUGGAUACGACCUUCCCACGCAUGUGGUGUUGGUGGAAAGCUUUUGUGGUUUUGGAUGGACUCGCGGCCUAUCAGCUUGUUGGUGGGGUAAUGGCCUACCAAGGCGACGACGGGUAGCCGGCCUGAGAGGGUGACCGGCCACACUGGGACUGAGACACGGCCCAGACUCCUACGGGAGGCAGCAGUGGGGAAUAUUGCACAAUGGGCGCAAGCCUGAUGCAGCGACGCCGCGUGAGGGAUGAAGGCCUUCGGGUUGUAAACCUCUUUCAGUAGGGAAGAAGCCGCUCUUUCGGGGUGGUGACGGUACCUGCAGAAGAAGCGCCGGCUAACUACGUGCCAGCAGCCGCGGUAAUACGUAGGGCGCAAGCGUUAUCCGGAAUUAUUGGGCGUAAAGAGCUCGUAGGCGGUUUGUCGCGUCUGCCGUGAAAGUCCGGGGCUUAACUCCGGAUCUGCGGUGGGUACGGGCAGACUAGAGUGCAGUAGGGGAGACUGGAAUUCCUGGUGUAGCGGUGAAAUGCGCAGAUAUCAGGAGGAACACCGAUGGCGAAGGCAGGUCUCUGGGCUGUAACUGACGCUGAGGAGCGAAAGCAUGGGGAGCGAACAGGAUUAGAUACCCUGGUAGUCCAUGCCGUAAACGUUGGGCACUAGGUGUGGGGGACAUUCCACGUUUUCCGCGCCGUAGCUAACGCAUUAAGUGCCCCGCCUGGGGAGUACGGCCGCAAGGCUAAAAC